RNAcentral lists this long non-coding RNA (475 nucleotides) under Theobroma cacao (cacao). RNAcentral's name for it is "long non-coding RNA (TCAC_LNC004683)". The record is from RNAcentral. Lineage: Eukaryota; Viridiplantae; Streptophyta; Magnoliopsida; Malvales; Malvaceae.
UUUGGCAGUGGCUCAAAGACAGGGACAGGAGUAGGAGAAGGUGGAGGUGGAGAUUGGAUUGGUGGCCGAGGAGAGAAAACCGGUGGUGGGGGAGAGUGGAUUGGUGGUGGCGGCGGUGGUGAAUGAACAGGUGGUGGUGGAUAAUAGAUUGGUGGCGGUGGGGAGUAGAUGGGAGGCGGUGGAGAUUGACUCCUUAUGAUAAUGGGUGAUUCUCUAUGGGGAUCGUCUGGUGGAGAGUGGACUGGUGGUGGUGAGUGAAUAGGUGGUGGAGGAGAGAGUACAGGUGGUGGUGGUGGUGGUGGUGGUGGUGGUAGAGAAUAGAUUGGUGGUGGAGGAGAGAGUACAGGUGGUGGUGGUGGAGAGUAGAUUGGUGGCGGUGGGGAGUAGAUGGGAGGCGGUGGAGAUUGACGCCUUACAAUAAUGGGUGAUUCUCUAUGGGGAUCAUCUAGUGGUGGCGGCGGUGGUGAAUGAACAG